Molecule: ribosomal RNA, 403 nt
Filed under: Fusobacteriota bacterium
Lineage: Bacteria; Fusobacteriati; Fusobacteriota
Description: Fusobacteria bacterium partial 16S ribosomal RNA
Rfam family: Bacterial small subunit ribosomal RNA
Source: RNAcentral
UGGGGAAUAUUGCACAAUGGAGGGAACUCUGAUGCAGCGACGCCGCGUGAACGAAGAAGGCUUUCGAGUCGUAAAGUUCUUUUAUAUGGGAAGAUAAUGACGGUACCAUAAGAAAAAGUCCCGGCUAACUACGUGCCAGCAGCCGCGGUAAUACGUAGGGGGCUAGCGUUGUCCGGAAUCACUGGGCGUAAAGGGUUCGCAGGCGGAAAUGCAAGUCAGGUGUAAAAGGCAGUAGCUUAACUACUGUAAGCAUUUGAAACUGCAUAUCUUGAGAAGAGUAGAGGUAAGGCGAAUUUUUAGUGUAGCGGUGAAAUGCGUAGAUAUUAAAAAGAAUACCGGUUGCGAAGGCGACUGACUGGGCUCAUUCUGACGCUGAGGAACGAAAGCGUGGGUAGCAAACAGG